GGUAGUUCUCUGGUGAUGCACCCUAGAAUCAGGCUCCCUCCUCUCUGGUUCCAGUUGUGUCACCCAAGAACCCCA
Non-coding RNA from Myotis lucifugus (little brown bat), 75 nucleotides. The record is from Rfam. Lineage: Eukaryota; Metazoa; Chordata; Mammalia; Chiroptera; Vespertilionidae.